Molecule: ribosomal RNA, 565 nt
Filed under: Fusarium proliferatum
Lineage: Eukaryota; Fungi; Ascomycota; Sordariomycetes; Hypocreales; Nectriaceae
Description: eukaryotic LSU rRNA
Rfam family: 5.8S ribosomal RNA (bases 202-355)
Source: RNAcentral
GAAGUAAAAGUCGUAACAAGGUCUCCGUUGGUGAACCAGCGGAGGGAUCAUUACCGAGUUUACAACUCCCAAACCCCUGUGAACAUACCAAUUGUUGCCUCGGCGGAUCAGCCCGCUCCCGGUAAAACGGGACGGCCCGCCAGAGGACCCCUAAACUCUGUUUCUAUAUGUAACUUCUGAGUAAAACCAUAAAUAAAUCAAAACUUUCAACAACGGAUCUCUUGGUUCUGGCAUCGAUGAAGAACGCAGCAAAAUGCGAUAAGUAAUGUGAAUUGCAGAAUUCAGUGAAUCAUCGAAUCUUUGAACGCACAUUGCGCCCGCCAGUAUUCUGGCGGGCAUGCCUGUUCGAGCGUCAUUUCAACCCUCAAGCCCUCGGGUUUGGUGUUGGGGAUCGGCGAGCCUCACGGCAAGCCGGCCCCGAAAUAUAGUGGCGGUCUCGCUGUAGCUUCCAUUGCGUAGUAGUAAAACCCUCGCAACUGGUACGCGGCGCGGCCAAGCCGUUAAACCCCCAACUUCUGAAUGUUGACCUCGGAUCAGGUAGGAAUACCCGCUGAACUUAAGCAUA